RNAcentral lists this transfer RNA (68 nucleotides) under Marmota monax (woodchuck). RNAcentral describes it as "tRNA.Ala". The record is from RNAcentral. Lineage: Eukaryota; Metazoa; Chordata; Mammalia; Rodentia; Sciuridae.
GGAUGUAGCUCAGUUGGUAGAGUGCUCGCCUGGCAUGCCUGAGGCCAUGAGUUUAAUCCCUAACACCA